GACGAACGCUGGCGGCGUGCUUAACACAUGCAAGUCGAACGGAAAGGCCUGCUUUCCCUUGUGGAUUGCGGGUACUCGAGUGGCGAACGGGUGAGUAACACGUGAGUGAUCUGCCCCCAACUUGGGUAUAAGCCUGGGAAACUGGGUCUAAUUCCCGAUAGGACUGCAGGGUGGUGCCUGUGGUGGAAAACGAUUUUCUAGUGGUUGGGGAUGAGCUCGCGGCCUAUCAGCUUGUUGGUGGGGUAAUGGCCUACCAAGGCGGCGACGGGUAGCCGGCCUGAGAGGGGGGACGGCCACAUUGGGACUGAGAUACGGCCCAGACGCCAACGGGAGGCAGCAGUGGGGGAUAUUGCACAAUGGGCGGAAGCCUGAUGCAGCGACGCCGCGUGGGGGAUGACGGCCUUCGGGUUGUAAACUCCUUGCGACCGCGAGGAAGCCACCUGGUUGGAAGGGUGGUGACGGUAGUGGUAGAAGAAGCACCGGCUAACUACGUG
Molecule: ribosomal RNA, 494 nt
Filed under: uncultured bacterium
Lineage: Bacteria
Description: partial 16S ribosomal RNA
Rfam family: Bacterial small subunit ribosomal RNA
Source: RNAcentral